Molecule: long non-coding RNA, 1123 nt
Filed under: Homo sapiens (human)
Lineage: Eukaryota; Metazoa; Chordata; Mammalia; Primates; Hominidae
Description: HSALNT0328683
Source: RNAcentral
CAAGUCAUACACUUUUCGUCAAAACAAGGAACAAUGUGGCCUCCAAUGGCUAUCAUCACUUAUAAAUUCUUUGUGCCUUGUUUAUGAAGCAAACUGCUGUAUAUUCAAGCAUUAUAACAGUGUGCAUACCCCUGAAAACAAGCUCAGUAUGGAGGUUUCAUAAUUGUACCCGAGAAGAUAAUUAGGCAAUUAGAGCUAUUAAAAGUUGACAAAGCACCAAGCCUGAAUGAAUUAUAUUCCUGCUUUCUAAGAGGAGAAGUAGGGGAAAAUAAAAAGACCUCCAGUCAAUCUGUUCAAUAUCCUUCUGAGGAAGAAAGUCGUGCCCAGAGGGCAAAAGAUGGGAGGUGUGACUUCUCUACUGCCACCCCCAGGAUUCAAGAAGGGAUCAGGAGAGGAUUUGUUGGAGAUGUGAAAGUCUCAUAUCAUUUGCACAGAUUAUACUGAACACAUUAAUAAGGUGAAAUUAACUUUGCAAAAUAUGUAAUUGGGUAAAAACAUGAGAUGAAAAUAAAACAAUGGAACUAAUGAUUUAAUUUCUGAAAAGCAGCUGAUGCCUUGGCUCACACCAAACAUGCGUCUGAAGCCAGCUAAGAAGAUUAUUAAAAAGACUGCAUUUUAAAUAUGUGAGAAACACAACAGAUUAAAUUGAGUUUUGUAAGUGAAUAAUACAAACUAGGAAGAGGGGCAACCCUAGUAGCCCUUGCUCCCUGAUCUACUUGUUAAGUUCCCAGUGAUCUUAUGUGACGUAAAAUUAUUGCAGUUUCCCAAAUUGACAAACAUAAUUGCUGAGACUGAUGAAAGAGAAUAUUGGGAUGCUGCCUUGGAGUCUGUUGGAAAGUACUUAGAAGUUGACAGAUGGUGCAUACAUUUGGAGGUUGAGAAGGGUGAGAAGGUAAUGAGACUGGGGACCAAAAACAAUUACAGUGUCUUAAGCCUCAAAUGCAGCAUAAUUGUGGCUGUAGAGUAGGCAAAACAAUUGAGUUUAAUGUAUUCAUAAUGUUUGUCAGAAGUUCAAGAAACAAAACCUGGAGGUGUAGAGUCUGAAAGCAUAAGUCAAAUGAUUGCAGAACACUCUCCUCAUUCAGUCAUUAGAAAAUUCAGGCAAUAAAUAUUUAUUGAUGCA